GAUGAACGCUGGCGGCGUGCUUAACACAUGCAAGUCGAACGGAAAGGCCGAAGCUUGCUUCGGUACUCGAGUGGCGAACGGGUGAGUAACACGUGGGUGAUCUGCCCUGUACUUCGGGAUAAGCUUGGGAAACUGGGUCUAAUACCGGAUAUGACAAUCUCUUGGAUGGGGUUGUGCAAAGCUUUUGCGGUAUGGGAUGAGCUCGCGGCCUAUCAGCUUGUUGGUGGGGUAAUGGCCUACCAAGGCGUCGACGGGUAGCCGGCCUGAGAGGGUGUACGGCCACAUUGGGACUGAGAUACGGCCCAGACUCCUACGGGAGGCAGCAGUGGGGAAUAUUGCACAAUGGGCGCAAGCCUGAUGCAGCGACGCCGCGUGGGGGAUGACGGCCUUCGGGUUGUAAACUCCUUUCGCAACCGACGAAGCUUUUGUGACGGUAGGUUGAGAAGAAGCACCGGCUAACUACGUG
This 466-nucleotide ribosomal RNA is filed under the name uncultured bacterium. Its description in RNAcentral is "partial 16S ribosomal RNA". It matches the Rfam family "Bacterial small subunit ribosomal RNA", at positions 28 to 507 of the family's 1533-position model. The record is from RNAcentral.